This 577-nucleotide ribosomal RNA is filed under the name uncultured bacterium. RNAcentral describes it as "partial 16S ribosomal RNA". It matches the Rfam family "Bacterial small subunit ribosomal RNA", at positions 355 to 920 of the family's 1533-position model. The record is from RNAcentral.
UGGGGAAUAUUGGACAAUGGGGGCAACCCUGAUCCAGCCAUGCCGCGUGCGUGAAGAAGGCCUUUUGGUUGUAAAGCACUUUAAGCAGGGAGGAGAGGCUAAUGGUUAAUACCCAUUAGAUUAGACGUUACCUGCAGAAUAAGCACCGGCUAACUCUGUGCCAGCAGCCGCGGUAAUACAGAGGGUGCGAGCGUUAAUCGGAAUUACUGGGCGUAAAGCGAGUGUAGGUGGCUCAUUAAGUCACAUGUGAAAUCCCCGGGCUUAACCUGGGAACUGCAUGUGAUACUGGUGGUGCUAGAAUAUGUGAGAGGGAAGUAGAAUUCCAGGUGUAGCGGUGAAAUGCGUAGAGAUCUGGAGGAAUACCGAUGGCGAAGGCAGCUUCCUGGCAUAAUAUUGACACUGAGAUUCGAAAGCGUGGGUAGCAAAACAGGAUUAGAUACCCUGGUAGUCCACGCCGUAAAACGAUGUCUACUAGCCGUUGGGGUCCUCGAGACUUUAGUGGCGCAGUUAACGCGAUAAGUAGACCGCCUGGGGGAGUACGGCCGCAAGGUUAAAACUCAAAUGAAUUGACGGGGUC